GCCCUAGUAACGGCGAGUGAAGCGGCAACAGCUCAAAUUUGAAAUCUGGCCCCCGGGUCCGAGUUGUAAUUUGUAGAGGAUGCUUUUGGUGCGGUACCUUCCGAGUUCCCUGGAACGGGACGCCAUAGAGGGUGAGAGCCCCGUCUGGUUGGACGCCAAUCCUUUGUAAAGCUCCUUCGACGAGUCGAGUAGUUUGGGAAUGCUGCUCUAAAUGGGAGGUAUAUGUCUUCUAAAGCUAAAUAUUGGCCAGAGACCGAUAGCGCACAAGUAGAGUGAUCGAAAGAUGAAAAGCACUUUGAAAAGAGAGUUAAAAAGUACGUGAAAUUGUUGAAAGGGAAGCGCUCAUGACCAGACUUGGGCCCGGUUGAUCAUCCAGGGUUCUCCCUGGUGCACUCUUCCGGCCCAGGCCAGCAUCAGUUCGCUGUGGGGGAUAAAGGCUUCGGGAAUGUGGCUCCUCCGGGAGUGUUAUAGCCCGCUGCGUAAUACCCUGUGGCGGACUGAGGUUCGCGCAUCUGCAAGGAUGCUGGCGUAAUGGUCAUCAGCGACCCGUCUUGAAACACGGACCAAGGAGUCGUCUUCGUAUGCGAGUGUUCGGGUGUUAAACCCCUACGCGGAAUGAAAGUGAACGCAGGUGAGAGCUUCGGCGCAUCAUCGACCGAUCCUGAUGUUCUCGGAUGGAUUUGAGUAAGAGCAUACGGGGCCGGACCCGAAAGAAGGUGAACUAUGCCUGUAUAGGGUGAAGCCAGAGGAAACUCUGGUGGAGGCUCGCAGCGGUUCUGACGUGCAAAUCGAUCGUCAAAUAUGGGCAU
RNAcentral lists this ribosomal RNA (809 nucleotides) under Corinectria fuckeliana. RNAcentral's name for it is "partial large subunit ribosomal RNA". It matches the Rfam family "Eukaryotic large subunit ribosomal RNA", at positions 77 to 918 of the family's 3401-position model. Lineage: Eukaryota; Fungi; Ascomycota; Sordariomycetes; Hypocreales; Nectriaceae. The record is from RNAcentral.